This is a non-coding RNA of Pelobates cultripes (western spadefoot toad), 1027 nucleotides long. NCBI's taxonomy places the organism in Eukaryota, Metazoa, Chordata, Amphibia, Anura, Pelobatidae. The record is from the annotation of a GenBank genome assembly.
GGCACGAACACCGCUGAAGCCGCUGACCUCCCUUCUCCUUUGGUAGAAAACCCACGAACACCCUAUGUUUGGUACUUUUAUUCACGAAAAGCCAUACCCCAGAUAGCCAUCCCGUGGAGUCUAUUCGUAUGGAGAACAGACUUUGUGAACACUUUGACUCCACGGCGAUUGGACUGUGUGCCUAGGAUCUGAGCGCUAUUCGGUACUUUUGUGCGCUCAGAUCCCAGCUAUCUAGGGGCACAUUGAAUACCUAUGUUAUACUGUAAUAUUGUCAAGUUAUAUAUUUUUAACCAUUUUUGUCAUGGUCACUUAAGAUGGCGUUUGGUCUUUGUCCAGGGAGAUAAUUGAAUUACUUCACAAUUAUCUCCCGGGCAGAGCAGAGGGUCUUGGGUAAUUAAAGGGACAUGGCUACAUGUGUAACACUCUGAUUGGUCAAUGUAAUGUCCUUGUCACAGUCACCCAUUUGGUCCCCUAGUGGAGUGUCCACCAGGUGGGAGACCUGCAUAAAUACCGGGCAGGUAGCCAUCAAUAAACCAGAUUCCUGCUGACCCUCAAUACGGAGCUUUGUCUCGUCAUUAGGGGGAUUAUUCAUAUGCAUUGCGCUUGUUCGGCUGUUUGGGAGACUAACUGGUUUGUGUGAUUGCUGUUCGGCAGUUUGGAGUGCUCAGUGGCUACCUCUGUGUUCGGGAAGGGAACGUCCUAUACGGCAGUAACCCCUCUCCUAUCGGGGGGGUCGUAACAUCAUCCAUCUGAGCAUCAAAGCAGAUAUCCAUAGUGUGAUAGCAGUUACCAUUGUUGGGACCAUAUGAACUCUGUCCUUCCCUGUGGCAGCUAUUUUGUUAACUUCUGGCCUCCAUUAUCGCCAGAGUUGCUCCAUCUUAAGAUGGGGUUAUGUGCGACUGGGUUUCUGUUGGGAGUUAUUGGACUGUCUAUUUUUGUAUGUCUGAUAUCUUUUGCUGUUUCCAAGAUGUUUCAGGCCCUGGGGAGAUAGCGCAGCUAAGCGGACAAGGGCACAUGUAGGAGUGUG